Molecule: long non-coding RNA, 1543 nt
Organism: Megalobrama amblycephala (Wuchang bream)
Lineage: Eukaryota; Metazoa; Chordata; Actinopteri; Cypriniformes; Xenocyprididae
Exons: 3
Source: RefSeq, a predicted model, not a curated record
CUGGCAUAGCGGAAGUGACGUCUUUGAAACCCAUGGAUAGCGCAUGAAGGCAGCAUAUUCAAGUCACUUUCGUCGGAACAAGAUGGCAGUGUACCUUCUCUAAAUUAACUACACAAAAAUACAGACAGGCUCAGGAGACUGGAUUCCUCUGCGUCCUGAAGGUGUGAGAUUGGACGGCUGUGAUUCGCACCCUUCCCACCUCACAGCAGGAACGAUAAUUGCCAGAUACUGUGAACCCAAUAUUCCCUGUGCUUCUGCUGGCCAAUGAGAGACGUGUGUGUGGACACAAGAGAAACAAUCGAUAGAGGAAUAGGAUACUCAAAUUUUUCACUACAAGCAGAGAGGAGCUUACGUAACGCUCAAACGCUGCACAUCUUGCAUGAAGCAGCUGCGUCUCUUUGGGGUCGCGGCAGUAACGUGCGUACAAGAUCUGAAACCACGGCAACAGCUGAGCUGAGGAGAGCAGCUGCACUUUGUUUUUGCUUCAUAAGGUUCUGCACAUCAUGACAUGACAGCACGGCGAUGAUGUCAUUUGAGCGUGGAUGAUGUCAUUGGAAGAUUUGAUUGAGGUGGAGUGAUGCAAAGCCUUCAAAAGCAUUAUCUCCAAUCAUAGUUUUUGUGGUUUUAUCAUAUAGUGUCAAAUUAUUACAAUUUCUGCACUACUUGCAGGUGAGAAGUUGGCCAUUUUCUCUUCAGUAUGAGUGGGGAUAUUUAUUUUUAAUGACCCUACGAGUUCGAUUAAACUAUUAAAAUAUGAGGAAAAUAUUUUAUAUUUUUAAACAUGUUAAAUAUGAGGAAAGAGCAAAACACUAAACCUGGUUAAGGUAUUUAUCUUACAAAAUUAUUUCAAAGUAUUAUGCCAUUCCCUCUCUCUCUCAAACACACACAUCUGUUUUGCAUGCACUAAGUCUCCUCCCAAUAUGCAAAUGACCGUUUUAUUGUUUGUUAUGCAAAAGCUGAUGUACAGGAUACACUUCUUCUGAAUUAUUAACGUUACACAUACAGUAUCUGUGCAGCUGUUUGAAUAGAAAAGCAUCGCUCAGAUCCACAUAUAGCCAGAGAAAUGUGCAUUAUUUUUCCUCACUGAGCAUCAGAUUUUGAUUCUCAUGGAUCUCAAGGGCUUGUUUGUGCAUUGCAUCUGAAGCCAACUAUAAUUAUGAAAAUAUUAAACACAGCCCUGUUUGGACUUAAGGCACGAAUGAUCAUUAAUAAAUGUAAUGUGUUUGUUUGUUUGUUGAAAACAUUUUAUGCACUUUUGCAGCAUUCAACCAUGCAUAGUAAAUUCAUUUCAGAUCGUUGACAGUUCAUUUUUGUUAUUUUAAAGUCCCCCUGAGACUUUAAGUUAAUAUUUCAAUAAUUUAUCAGCACAUAUCAAUGCAUUUAUCAUUAUUUGUUUGCAAUAUUAUGUGAUAAAUAAGUUGUGAUAAAAAGUCAUUAUGACAAUUUUUUUGACAUUUUAAAGUCAUUAUGACUUAGUAUGUAAUGUAAUAAAUUUCAUAUCAUAAUUAUGACUUUAUCUCAAUGUCUGUCAUCAUUUUGACAU